AGUAGGUAAGGGUUCAAACUAUAAUUAGCUCUCAUUUUCUUUGAAAUCCUUUAUCAAAUCUCAUCCCGUUCAAGGGUCCCAAUCAAAUCUCAAGAGUCUGUUCGGAGCAAUGCUGGCUUGCAUUAAAAUAACCACGUGUUGAUAUCUGGUGUAGCCUCUUAAGCGAUUGUCGUUUUGGUGGCCAGACAUCACUUAAGCAGUUAUAAACCCCAUUUCACAAAUUUUCACCAUUUUUAGACUUUGAGCUUCAAGUUUGGGAAGUUAUUAGGGUUUCAUCAUUAUUUAAACUUGGUUGAUCCCAAGGUCAUUCGAGAAGGGGAAAUGUAGUAUUAAAGGAC
Molecule: long non-coding RNA, 338 nt
Organism: Capsicum annuum
Lineage: Eukaryota; Viridiplantae; Streptophyta; Magnoliopsida; Solanales; Solanaceae
Exons: 3
Source: RefSeq, a predicted model, not a curated record